AAGUAACAGGUCACGAGCCUUAAAGAUCAGUCAUCCUGUGAUGUGUCCUGUCCACUGAUUGUUCCCAUUUUAAAAUAAACCUAGAAAUACCAGAGAAAGCUGCUUAAGAAGCAAAAGAAAUAACAUAGAAAUGUAGAAAAAGGAGGCAUACAAAUAUUCUUUCUCUUGUGGUCAUAAGGGCUUCCCUGGUGGCUCAGAGGUAAAGAAUCUGCCUCCCAAAGCAGGAGACGAGACGUAGGUUCAAUCCCUGGGUUAGGGAAGGUGCCCUAGGGAAGGAAAGAGCAACGCAUUCCAGUAUUCUUGCCUGGAAAAUCCCAUGGACACAAGAUCCUGAAGGGCUACAGUCCAUGGAGUUGCAAAGAGUCAGAUACGACUUAGCAACUAAACAACAACAAUAUCGCAAGUAUAAACCUGGGAAAGCAACCGGUAAAUUAACUCUGACGAUACGGCACAUACAAAAGCAAACGUUACCAAGUGUGUAUUAUGCAAGUGUCAGGCAAUUAGAAAAAAUGCUUGUAAAAUAAGAGAUCCCAAGAGCAGUAAAAAAAAAUCAGAUAAUUCAUUUUUAAUCAUUUUAAUUUAAUUGUUUAAUAAUUGUCUUCCCAUUUACUAGAGAAUAUACAACUUAGCAGGCCCUAAUAGGAGAGAGAAAAAAAAAGGAAGGCAAAAAGCAGAACUGUAUUUUGCUCUUGAGGAAGAAGAAACACAAGAAAGAUGAUGGGCCAGUGGGCAGAACCCAAAUGUUACAUAUUCAGGAAAUUCACAAGACAUUGGCCACGUCCUGAAGAGCUCGAAAUCAGCCAUGUUGGCCACGAUGGGAGUAUUUACACCAAGGGGAUCACCAAGCAUCUUGAAUCAGGUCUUUCCUUCCUGCAGAGCCGUUUUCCUAAACACCGUCACGUCUGGUUUUAACAAGCUAGAAGAAAGUAGAACAGCACUUUUUUCCCCAUCCAUGUAAAAGAAAUUCUGACUAAAGAAAUGGAAACAUCUCAUUGGAUACAAGAUGGAGGGGUUUGAUUAUGUUAAAAAAAAUUAACUUCUUUCAUAAUCAUAUGCAUGAUAAAAUUUUAAAAGAGCAAUGCUAUGCUAUGCUAAGUCACUUCAGUCGUGUCCGACUCUGUUCGACCCCAUAGACGGCAGCCCACCAGGCUCCCCCAUCCCUGGGACUCUCCAGGCAAGAACACUGGAGUGGGUUGCCAUUUCCUUCUCCAAUGCAUGAAAGUGAAAAGUGAAGUCGCUGAGUCGUGUCCGACUCUUCGAAACCCCAUGGACUGCAGCCCACCAGGCU
This 1288-nucleotide long non-coding RNA is filed under the name Bos indicus x Bos taurus (hybrid cattle). RNAcentral describes it as "lncRNA (ENSBIXG00005022640.1)". The record is from RNAcentral. Lineage: Eukaryota; Metazoa; Chordata; Mammalia; Artiodactyla; Bovidae.